RNAcentral lists this ribosomal RNA (694 nucleotides) under Escherichia coli. RNAcentral describes it as "partial 23S ribosomal RNA". It matches the Rfam family "Bacterial large subunit ribosomal RNA", at positions 496 to 1191 of the family's 2925-position model. The record is from RNAcentral. Lineage: Bacteria; Pseudomonadati; Pseudomonadota; Gammaproteobacteria; Enterobacterales; Enterobacteriaceae.
CAGUACCGUGAGGGAAAGGCGAAAAGAACCCCGGCGAGGGGAGUGAAAAAGAACCUGAAACCGUGUACGUACAAGCAGUGGGAGCACGCUUAGGCGUGUGACUGCGUACCUUUUGUAUAAUGGGUCAGCGACUUAUAUUCUGUAGCAAGGUUAACCGAAUAGGGGAGCCGAAGGGAAACCGAGUCUUAACUGGGCGUUAAGUUGCAGGGUAUAGACCCGAAACCCGGUGAUCUAGCCAUGGGCAGGUUGAAGGUUGGGUAACACUAACUGGAGGACCGAACCGACUAAUGUUGAAAAAUUAGCGGAUGACUUGUGGCUGGGGGUGAAAGGCCAAUCAAACCGGGAGAUAGCUGGUUCUCCCCGAAAGCUAUUUAGGUAGCGCCUCGUGAAUUCAUCUCCGGGGGUAGAGCACUGUUUCGGCAAGGGGGUCAUCCCGACUUACCAACCCGAUGCAAACUGCGAAUACCGGAGAAUGUUAUCACGGGAGACACACGGCGGGUGCUAACGUCCGUCGUGAAGAGGGAAACAACCCAGACCGCCAGCUAAGGUCCCAAAGUCAUGGUUAAGUGGGAAACGAUGUGGGAAGGCCCAGACAGCCAGGAUGUUGGCUUAGAAGCAGCCAUCAUUUAAAGAAAGCGUAAUAGCUCACUGGUCGAGUCGGCCUGCGCGGAAGAUGUAACGGGGCUAAACCAUG